RNAcentral lists this ribosomal RNA (400 nucleotides) under uncultured bacterium. Its description in RNAcentral is "bacterial SSU rRNA". It matches the Rfam family "Bacterial small subunit ribosomal RNA", at positions 355 to 747 of the family's 1533-position model. The record is from RNAcentral.
UGGGGAAUAUUGGACAAUGGGGGAAACCCUGAUCCAGCCAUGCCGCGUGUGUGAAGAAGGCCUUCGGGUUGUAAAGCACUUUCAGUGGGGAGGAAGGCCCUGUGGCUAAUAUCCACGGGGAUUGACGUUACCCACAGAAGAAGCACCGGCAAACUCCGUGCCAGCAGCCGCGGUAAUACGGAGGGUGCGAGCGUUAAUCGGAAUUACUGGGCGUAAAGCGCACGUAGGCGGCUACAUAAGUUGGAGGUGAAAUCCCCGGGCUCAACCUGGGAACUGCUUUCAAAACUGUGUGGCUAGAGUACGGUAGAGGUGAGUGGAAUUUCCUGUGUAGCGGUGAAAUGCGUAGAUAUAGGAAGGAACAUCAGUGGCGAAGGCGACUCACUGGACUGAUACUGACGCU